This 339-nucleotide ribosomal RNA is filed under the name uncultured Pseudomonadota bacterium. Its description in RNAcentral is "bacterial SSU rRNA". It matches the Rfam family "Bacterial small subunit ribosomal RNA", at positions 29 to 351 of the family's 1533-position model. The record is from RNAcentral. Lineage: Bacteria; Pseudomonadati; Pseudomonadota.
AACAAACGCUGGCGGCGUGCCUAACACAUGCAAGUCGUACGAGAAAGGGUCCUUCGGGACCUGAGUAAAGUGGCGCACGGGUGAGUAACGCGUGGAUAAUCUGCCCUUUAGUUGGGAAUAACGUACCGAAAGGUGCGCUAAUACCGAAUAAUACUGCAUAACUACUGUUGUGUAGUCAAAGAAGGCCUCUGUUUACAAGCUUUUGCUGAAGGAUGAGUCCGCGUACCAUUAGCUAGUUGGUAGGGUAAUGGCCUACCAAGGCGACGAUGGUUAGCUGGUCUGAGAGGAUGAUCAGCCACACUGGAACUGAGACACGGUCCAGACUCCUACGGGAGGCAG